RNAcentral lists this ribosomal RNA (253 nucleotides) under uncultured bacterium. Its description in RNAcentral is "partial 16S ribosomal RNA". It matches the Rfam family "Bacterial small subunit ribosomal RNA", at positions 524 to 776 of the family's 1533-position model. The record is from RNAcentral.
UACAGAGGUCCCAAGCGUUGUUCGGAUUCACUGGGCGUAAAGGGUGCGUAGGUGGUCAGGUAAGUCGGAUGUGAAAUCUCCGAGCUCAACUCGGAAACUGCAUUGGAAACUACCUGGCUCGAGGGUUGGAGGGGGGACUGGAAUGCUUGGUGUAGCAGUGAAAUGCGUAGAUAUCAAGCGGAACACCAGUGGCGAAAGCGGCUUCCUGGUCCAGCACCGACGUUCAGGCACGAAAGCGUGGGGAGCAAACAGG